Molecule: long non-coding RNA, 758 nt
Filed under: Carassius auratus (goldfish)
Lineage: Eukaryota; Metazoa; Chordata; Actinopteri; Cypriniformes; Cyprinidae
Description: lncRNA (ENSCARG00000011284.1)
Source: RNAcentral
AUUAUUUUAAUUAAAAUGGUUAAUAAAAAUCUCAUAACCAUUUAAGACGUGUUUGAAAGGGCUAAAUGCCCACAGGAAGUGAUGACUGUUACUGUUUCAUUUGAAAUGAAUAUUGAUGUAUUCACAGCCAUCUGUGAAAUCUGCUGCUGGAUGUGUCCUUGAAAUGUAGCUUUUAUUGCAGAUCGGGAUACAGAUAGCAGUGCUGAUUGCUAAAGUGCCACGUCUGGACUGUCCGCGGUACAGCUGAUCCCUAUUCUGCUGGAUACUGUGAAAGUUCACCUUCUACCACAUCUCCAAGACUCUGGUCUCCAAACGCCUCGUUCUGGAUCUGUGGAAGAGACAGGCGGUGACUCCUGGAAGUAUAGUUUGCAGGUACAAGUUGAUCAGAUCAAGUUGGGUGAUCUGGCUGACUGGACAGUGGAUCUCGGUAAAGUUCAAGCCGGAACUAUGGCCCCUGCUCUAUGAGGUCAUCCUCAGUCUCAUGCAGGACCCCGACCUUGGGAGUCAGAUGUACGUGGGCUGCUUGGUUCAGUACAUUCCUCUUCAUUGGAAGCAGUUUGAAGAACACAACAUGCUCUGCUGUGCCAUCCUCACUACCCUCAUCCAUCUCGUAUGGGAGCGACAAGCCCGAGGGGCCAGGAAUGAAACAGGUAACGAGCCUUUGAAAUGGUUGAGUCAGGUGUUUAGCAUUCUGUCUGUGCUACAAGUGCUCACUUGAACAUCAUGUGCGUACCUUUACCAAUGGGGGCCUGAUUUUC